Molecule: unclassified non-coding RNA, 256 nt
Filed under: Hevea brasiliensis (rubber tree)
Lineage: Eukaryota; Viridiplantae; Streptophyta; Magnoliopsida; Malpighiales; Euphorbiaceae
Source: RNAcentral
GAAUCACCCUCUCCGGAUUCAAGUGAGUUAACUGACGUGGAAGUUUUUGGUGGAGAUGAAGACUGAGAUCCACUACCAGGUCGCUGACCCAACUGCUGGACAGGAACCUGAACAGAAGAUUGAACCCGAGUUUGACCAGGAGUUCGUGCUACACCAUGUGAUUGAGUAGGUAAAGAGACCUUGUUAACUUGGCUAUGGAGUGAUGCAGGAGGGUAGCCAGUUGAUCCUAGAACAGCACCCCUUCCAUGAGGUCUAG